This 97-nucleotide ribosomal RNA is filed under the name Citrobacter sp. wls827. Its description in RNAcentral is "partial 23S ribosomal RNA". Lineage: Bacteria; Pseudomonadati; Pseudomonadota; Gammaproteobacteria; Enterobacterales; Enterobacteriaceae. The record is from RNAcentral.
GAGAUGAGUUCUCCCUGAGACUAUAAGUCUCCUGAAGGAACGUUGAAGACGACGACGUUGAUAGGUCGGGUGUGUAAGUGUAGCGAUACAUUGAGCU